GAGUCAAUCUUCCUCCUGGGCCGGUUCUGCGGGUGUUCUGUCCUCCCGGCCUUCAGCUGUUCCGUCUGCAGUUCACGUAAGAGCCUGCGGCAGAGAAGCCCGGAAAGCCUGCAGAGGGAGAGAAAGCCCAGCCUCCCACUUUGGUCUCCAACUGGCUCCAUCCAGCUCAACGACCUUCGUCAAGUCACUUCCGCUCGCCAAGAGUUCUUCUGCCCUGUUGUGGCUUUGCAACCGCCAGCUGGGCUGCUCUGUCCCUUCUUGCUCCAUCUUUGCUGCUCUCAUUAACACCUAUGCCAGGUGCUCUCUGCCCCCAUCCCCAAACCCAGGAGGUGCUGAUGGUUCAUUUGUUCCUAAAACAAACCUGAGUUUUUAUUUCCCCAGUGGGAACUGGAUCCUCUGCUUUUUGAACUCCUUAAA
Sus scrofa (pig) is the source of this 417-nucleotide non-coding RNA. The record is from RefSeq and is a predicted model, not a curated record. NCBI's taxonomy places the organism in Eukaryota, Metazoa, Chordata, Mammalia, Artiodactyla, Suidae.